GAUGAACGCUGGCGGCGUGCCUAAUACAUGCAAGUCGAACGAAACUUCUUUAUCACCGAGUGCUUGCACUCACCGAUAAAGAGUUGAGUGGCGAACGGGUGAGUAACCCGUGGGCAACCUGCCCAAAAGGGGGGGAUAACACUUGGAAACAGGUGCUAAUACCGCAUAACCAUAGUUACCGCAUGGUAACUAUGUAAAAGGUGGCUAUACUACCGCUUUUGGAUGGGCCCGCGGCGCAUUAGCUAGUUGGUAGGGUAAAGGCUUACCAAGGCAAUGAUGCGUAGCCGAAUUGAAAGGUUGAUUGGCCACAUUGGGACUGAGACACGGCCCAAACUCCUACGGUAGGCAGCAGUAGGGAAUCCUCCGCAAUGGGCGAAAGCCUGAUGGAGCAACGCCGCGUGGGUGAAGAAGGUCUUCGGAUCGUAAAACCCUGUUGUUAGAGAAGAAAGUGCGUGAGAGUAACUGUUCACGUUUCGACGGUAUCUAACCAGAAAGCCACUGCUAACUACGUG
This 512-nucleotide ribosomal RNA is filed under the name uncultured bacterium. RNAcentral describes it as "partial 16S ribosomal RNA". It matches the Rfam family "Bacterial small subunit ribosomal RNA", at positions 28 to 507 of the family's 1533-position model. The record is from RNAcentral.